Molecule: long non-coding RNA, 1428 nt
Organism: Neofelis nebulosa (Clouded leopard)
Lineage: Eukaryota; Metazoa; Chordata; Mammalia; Carnivora; Felidae
Exons: 8
Source: RefSeq, a predicted model, not a curated record
GAGCCAGCAGGACUUAACACCUGGAAUUUUAAGAGUCAACAGCUCUGCUCUCGGAGAGUGGGGAGGGCGAGAGGAGCUAGGGGGGACAGUUGUUGAGCCCUGGAAGACGGAGCUCAGCUCUGUGGGGAACAAAGGCGCUGGCCAGAGCCAUCUCCCUCACCCAUCCCCCAGCCGAAAUCCCAAAGGGAACCAGUUCCCCUCACUGAACUUGCUUGCACCUCACAAACACCCAACACUGUGCUGCUGUGGAUCCAUCCCUCCGACAGGUCGGCCUCCCUUCUGGUGCUGCAGGACCCCUCCCGCAGGGGACCACCUAUGGAAAAGUGAUCUAAGCCUGCCUCUCCCACCCCUGUGCACCUUGCGGAUCCACCACGGCUAAUACACCAGAUUCAAUCAAAGCAGCACCUCAGGCCUGGCAGUGUGCAAGUAGUCCAGACAGGGGCCACACCACUCAACAUUCCAUGGCCUUCACAUGAAAGUGAUCUGUGUGACAGUCUUCUCCACUGAGCUUAAGCAGGAGACUGAAAUCUAAAACUGUGGCCUCAACAUUGUCAUCUGAAAGCUGGUUGUCUAUUCUCUGAAUUUUUAUACUGAUCUGGAAGAGAAGGCAAGAAGAGCUAGCACUUUGGGCAUCUCUACACAGGACACCAUUGGAAACAUCAGUUAUAUUACCAAAGCUUUGACUGGAAUGUCAUGUUUGAAAGACAUGCAUAGACUCAGAUAUGACCAUACAGUUUUAAGGAACUACGGCUGACUUUAUGAAGCACGGAGUCAAUAAAGCACCUUUGGAAAUGUUGGCCUGAUACCUUGCUUAUUACAGAGUUCCCAGCAGCCUUACCACAUUAUCACAAAAAUGUAAACACGAUUGCUAAAAGAUACAGAUUGGUGUUUUAAACGACCUCGCUCUGUAAACUCCUGGACUGGAAGAGGAUUUUGGACAAGUAUCAGGGCAAGAGAAAAGCUGCAAAAGCAAUUGAACUUGAAGAGGACUCCACUUGAGACUUGCUUUCAUCCUGCCUUGUCUGCCCUCCCUUCCCUUCUCUUCUGAGAUUGAUGUGCCUCUCCUGACCACCCCCACAGAGCCACAUCCUGCAGGCAAUCCUAAGACACUGUCUGCGAGAAAGCUAACUUCAUGGAAUUUCAUGCCUCUCUGAACAAACUAUGCCACUGAGGUCUCUGUCACUCAAAUGGUUGAGGACCAACAAGUUUCUUCAACAAAUAUUUAUGGGCUGUCACCAAAUGCCAAGAAGAAGGCUCAGCCCUAAGACUGAAAUAAUCCGUAAGGCAUAGUUUCUGUCUUUGAGGAGCUCACUUAAUUACGCCCAAUAUUUAAGACUUUCUUCAUGCCUAAUAAUUCUGAAUGUUUUGUUGCUAAUUUGUAUUUCAAUGUUGCAGGGGCAGCCUAAGUAAACUGAUUAUUUUCACUGA